Molecule: ribosomal RNA, 435 nt
Filed under: uncultured Clostridium sp.
Lineage: Bacteria; Bacillati; Bacillota; Clostridia; Eubacteriales; Clostridiaceae
Description: partial 16S ribosomal RNA
Rfam family: Bacterial small subunit ribosomal RNA
Source: RNAcentral
ACGGAAGGCAGCAGUGGGGAAUAUUGCACAAUGGAGGAAACUCUGAUGCAGCAACGCCGCGUGACUGAAGAAGUAUUUCGGUAUGUAAAGGUCUAUCAGCAAGGAAGAAACAAGACGGUACUUGACUAAGAAGCCCCGGCUAACUACGUGCCAGCAGCCGCGGUAAUACGUAGGGGGCAAGCGUUAUCCGGAUUUACUGGGUGUAAAGGGAGUGUAGGUGGCAAUACAAGUCAGAAGUGAAAGCCCGGGGCUCAACCCCGGGACUGCUUUUGAAACUGUAUAGCUAGAGUACAGGAGAGGCAAGUGGAAUUCCUAGUGUAGCGGUGAAAUGCGUAGAUAUUAGGAGGAACACCAGUGGCGAAGGCGGCUUGCUGGACUGUAACUGACACUGAGGCUCGAAAGCGUGGGGAGCAAACAGGAUUAGAUACCCUGGUA